Molecule: non-coding RNA, 281 nt
Organism: Pogona vitticeps (central bearded dragon)
Lineage: Eukaryota; Metazoa; Chordata; Lepidosauria; Squamata; Agamidae
Source: RefSeq, a predicted model, not a curated record
UUUACAGCUCUCAUGUCCUACAUGUGAAUUCCCUAACAGGAUCUAGUUGGCCACUUUGGAGAGUAGUAUGCUGAAGCAGAUGGACCUUUGGUCUGAUCCAAUGGAUCCUUUGAUUUUCAAUGCUUUGGUCUCAAAGACUUAGAACAGUCUUAACUUCGGAGAAGAUGUGGCUGGGCUCAAGAUCGAGUGAGAGACCACUCUAAGAACAUGCAGAUUACCAGGCACGCAACGGAUUAGGACCUCAGUAUCUAUCAGAACGCCUGCUCCCAGCCAGACCUGUC